This 462-nucleotide ribosomal RNA is filed under the name Klebsiella aerogenes. RNAcentral's name for it is "bacterial SSU rRNA". It matches the Rfam family "Bacterial small subunit ribosomal RNA", at positions 61 to 513 of the family's 1533-position model. Lineage: Bacteria; Pseudomonadati; Pseudomonadota; Gammaproteobacteria; Enterobacterales; Enterobacteriaceae. The record is from RNAcentral.
GUCGAGCGGCAGCGGAGAGUACCUUGCUACUUUGCCGGCGAGCGGCGGACGGGUGAGUAAUGUCUGGGAAACUGCCUGAUGGAGGGGGAUAACUACUGGAAACGGUAGCUAAUACCGCAUAAGGUCGCAAGACCAAAGAGGGGGACCUUCGGGCCUCUUGCCAUCAGAUGUGCCCAGAUGGGAUUAGCUAGUAAGUGGGGUAACGGCUCACCUAGGCGACGAUCCCUAGCUGGUCUGAGAGGAUGACCAGCCACACUGGAACUGAGACACGGUCCAGACUCCUACGGGAGGCAGCAGUGGGGAAUAUUGCACAAUGGGCGCAAGCCUGAUGCAGCCAUGCCGCGUGUAUGAAGAAGGCCUUCGGGUUGUAAAGUACUUUCAGCGGGGAGGAAGGCGAUGAGGUUAAUAACCUUGUCAUUGACGUUACCCGCAGAAGAAGCACCGGCUAACUCCGUGCCAGCA